AGCCGCCGCGGUAAUACCAGCUCUCCGAGUGGUAGGGACGAUUAUUGGGCUUAAAGCGUCCGUAGCCGGCCCGGCAAGUCUUCCGUUAAAUCCAACGAUUCAAUCGUUGGACUGCGGGAGAUACUGUUGGGCUAGGAGGCGGGAGAGGCCGACGGUAUUCUCGGGGUAGGGGUAAAAUCCUAUAAUCCCGGGAAGACCACCAGUGGCGAAGGCGGUCGGCUAGAACGCGCUCGACGGUGAGGGACGAAAGCUGGGGGAGCGAACCGGAUUAGAUACCCGGGUAGUCCCAGCUGUAAACGAUGCGGGCUAGGUGUUGGAGCGGCUACGGGCCGCUUCAGUGCCGCAGGGAAACCAUUAAGCCCGCCGCCUGGGGAGUACGGCCGCAAGGCUGAAACUUAAAGGAAUUGGCGGGGGAGCACCACAAGGGGUGAAGCUUGCGGUUUAAUUGGAGUCAACGCCGGAAAACUUACCGGGGGCGACAGCAGGAUGAAGGCCAGAUUGAAGGUCUUGCUGGACGAGCUGAGAGGAGGUGCAUGGCCGUCGCCAGUUCGUGCCGUGAGGUGUCCUGUUAAGUCAGGCAACGAUCGAGACCCACGCCCCCUGUUGCCACCGAGGAGGUUUCUCCAAGGGGCACUCUGGGGGGACUGCCGUCGAUAAGGCGGAGGAAGGAGUGGGCCACGGCAGGUCAGUAUGCCCCGAAUCCCCCGGGCCACACGCGAGCUGCAAUGGCUGGGACAGUGGGUUCCGACCUCGAAAGGGGGAGGUAAUCCCUAAACCCAGCCGUAGUUGGGAUCGAGGGCUGAAACUCGCCCUCGUGAACAUGGAAUCCCUAGUAAUCGCGCGUCAUCAUCGCGCGGUGAAUACGUCCCCGCUCCUUGCACACACCGCCCG
RNAcentral lists this ribosomal RNA (891 nucleotides) under uncultured archaeon. RNAcentral describes it as "bacterial SSU rRNA". It matches the Rfam family "Archaeal small subunit ribosomal RNA", at positions 460 to 1352 of the family's 1478-position model. The record is from RNAcentral.